GGGCAAAUCGGUAGUGCGUUUCUCGCGGCCACCUCCCACCCGUGUCUCUCUCUACCUGUUGCUUUGGCGGGCCCACCGGGGCCACCCGGUCGCCGGGGGACGUCCGUCCCCGGGCCCGCGCCCGCCGAAGCGCUCUGUGAACCCUGAUGAAGAUGGGCUGUCUGAGUCGAAUGAAAAUUGUCAAAACUUUCAACAAUGGAUCUCUUGGUUCCGGCAUCGAUGAAGAACGCAGCGAAAUGCGAUAAGUAAUGUGAAUUGCAGAAUUCCGUGAAUCAUCGAAUCUUUGAACGCACAUUGCGCCCCCUGGCAUUCCGGGGGGCAUGCCUGUCCGAGCGUCAUUUCUGCCCUCAAGCCCGGCUUGUGUGUUGGGCGUGGUCCCCCCGGGGACCUGCCCGAAAGGCAGCGGCGACGUCCGUCUGGUCCUCGAGCGUAUGGGGCUUUGUCACUCGCUCGGGACGGAUCGGCGGAGGUUGGUCACCACCACAGUUUUACCACGGUUGACCUCGGAUCAGGUAGGAGUUACCCGCUGAACUUAAGCAUAUCAAAAAGCGGGAGGAAC
This 559-nucleotide ribosomal RNA is filed under the name Trametes versicolor. Its description in RNAcentral is "eukaryotic LSU rRNA". The stretch from base 185 to 338 matches the Rfam family "5.8S ribosomal RNA". Lineage: Eukaryota; Fungi; Basidiomycota; Agaricomycetes; Polyporales; Polyporaceae. The record is from RNAcentral.